This 459-nucleotide ribosomal RNA is filed under the name uncultured bacterium. Its description in RNAcentral is "partial 16S ribosomal RNA". It matches the Rfam family "Bacterial small subunit ribosomal RNA", at positions 338 to 795 of the family's 1533-position model. The record is from RNAcentral.
CCUACGGGAGGCAGCAGUGAGGAAUAUUGGUCAAUGGGCGCGAGCCUGAACCAGCCAAGUCGCGUGAGGGAAGACGGUCCUAUGGAUUGUAAACCUCUUUUGUCGGGGAGCAAAAGACGCCACGCGUGGCGUUCCGAGAGUACCCGAAGAAAAAGCAUCGGCUAACUCCGUGCCAGCAGCCGCGGUAAUACGGAGGAUGCGAGCGUUAUCCGGAUUUAUUGGGUUUAACGGGUGCGCAGGCGGAAGAUCAAGGCAGCGGUAAAAUUGAGAGGCUCAACCUCUUCGAGCCGUUGAAACUGGUUGUCUUGAGUGAGCGAGAAGUAUGCGGAAUGCGUGGUGUAGCGGUGAAAUGCAUAGAUAUCACGCAGAACUCCGAUUGCGAAGGCAGCAUACCGGCGCUCAACUGACGCUCAUGCACGAAAGUGUGGGUAUCGAACAGGAUUAGAUACCCCGGUAGUC